Molecule: ribosomal RNA, 273 nt
Filed under: uncultured bacterium
Lineage: Bacteria
Description: partial 16S ribosomal RNA
Rfam family: Bacterial small subunit ribosomal RNA
Source: RNAcentral
UACGGAGGGAGCAAGCGUUAUUCGGAAUCACUGGGCGUAAAGGACGCGUAGGCGGGUUUGUAAGUCAGAUGUGAAAUCCUACAGCUCAACUGUAGAACUGCACUUGAAACUACAGACCUAGAGUAUGGAAGGGGCAGAUGGAAUUAGUGGUGUAGGGGUAAAAUCCGUAGAUAUCACUAGGAAUACCGAAAGCGAAGGCGAUCUGCUGGGACAUUACUGACGCUGAGGCGUGAAAGCGUGGGGAGCAAACAGGAUUAGAAACCCGAGUAGUCC